UUACCAGGUCAAGACAUGGGCGUGAUUGACAGGCUAAUGACUUUUCUCGAUUCCAUGGAUGGUGGUGCAUGGUCGCACUUAGUUGGUGCAGUGAUUUGUCAGGUUUAUUCCGGUAACGAACGAGACCUCGGCCUUGUAAAUAGCUAUGCUGCUUACAGGGACAUUGGCGGCUACGCCAAGGAAGCUCGAGGCAAUUGCAGAUCUGGAAUGCCCUUAGAUGUCCUGGGUCGCACGCGUGCUACAAUGACGCCACGAACGAGCUUGCGUGAUGAAAGUUACGCAUAAUCAGCAGUCGGCGUCUUAAGGGAUAGUCUCUUGUAACUGUGGGACUCCAACUAGGAAUGUCUCGUAAGCACAAGUCAACAUCUUGUGUUGAUUACGUCCCUGCUCUUUGUACACACCGCCCGUCGCUCCUACCGAUCGAGUGUUUAGGUGAAUUUGAUGGACGUAAGGAAGUCAAAUAAACCUGAGCACUAGAGGAAGGAGAAAGUGAACCAGGU
RNAcentral lists this ribosomal RNA (500 nucleotides) under uncultured Myrionecta. Its description in RNAcentral is "bacterial SSU rRNA". It matches the Rfam family "Eukaryotic small subunit ribosomal RNA", at positions 1215 to 1800 of the family's 1831-position model. Lineage: Eukaryota; Ciliophora; Litostomatea; Cyclotrichida; Mesodiniidae. The record is from RNAcentral.